RNAcentral lists this unclassified non-coding RNA (425 nucleotides) under fungal sp. RNAcentral's name for it is "partial internal transcribed spacer region". The stretch from base 1 to 46 matches the Rfam family "Eukaryotic small subunit ribosomal RNA", at positions 1786 to 1831 of the family's 1831-position model. The record is from RNAcentral. Lineage: Eukaryota; Fungi.
AAGUCGUAACAAGGUUUCCGUAGGUGAACCUGCGGAAGGAUCAUUAACACGUAUCCACGUUAUCAAACCAAUGAGAACCGUUUUCCCGUCUCCCUGCUGCAUGAAAUGAAUUGGAACCAGUUUGAGGGGGUGAUGGGACCGAUAAGGUCGACCUUCCUGGCACACUGAUGUUUUCAUUCCGUUUAUUCGGAUGAGGGCAUCGACAAUUGUAUUUAUGUUCUGCAGGCUAAUUCUUUAUCGCUUUGAUCCCCUCACGAUCGUGGCGGUAGGGAAGCCCUUCAAACUACAUUUACCUCCCCUUUUUGCUAGUUGACUUUUUAUAUGUGUUGUGGGUUCUCGAUUGCUUCAUUGCAACGGCUCUCGGCACACGUUUAUUAAUUGAACGUUAAAAAAUACAACUCUUAGCAAUGGAUAUCUUGGUUCUC